This 537-nucleotide ribosomal RNA is filed under the name Citrobacter freundii. Its description in RNAcentral is "partial 23S ribosomal RNA". It matches the Rfam family "Bacterial large subunit ribosomal RNA", at positions 2261 to 2797 of the family's 2925-position model. Lineage: Bacteria; Pseudomonadati; Pseudomonadota; Gammaproteobacteria; Enterobacterales; Enterobacteriaceae. The record is from RNAcentral. RNAcentral also lists the same sequence under 1 other name.
GUGGGUAGUUUGACUGGGGCGGUCUCCUCCUAAAGAGUAACGGAGGAGCACGAAGGUUAGCUAAUCCUGGUCGGACAUCAGGAGGUUAGUGCAAAGGCAUAAGCUAGCUUGACUGCGAGAGUGACGGCUCGAGCAGGUGCGAAAGCAGGUCUUAGUGAUCCGGUGGUUCUGAAUGGAAGGGCCAUCGCUCAACGGAUAAAAGGUACUCCGGGGAUAACAGGCUGAUACCGCCCAAGAGUUCAUAUCGACGGCGGUGUUUGGCACCUCGAUGUCGGCUCAUCACAUCCUGGGGCUGAAGUAGGUCCCAAGGGUAUGGCUGUUCGCCAUUUAAAGUGGUACGCGAGCUGGGUUUAGAACGUCGUGAGACAGUUCGGUCCCUAUCUGCCGUGGGCGCUGGAGAAUUGAGGGGGGCUGCUCCUAGUACGAGAGGACCGGAGUGGACGCAUCACUGGUGUUCGGGUUGUCAUGCCAAUGGCAUUGCCCGGUAGCUAAAUGCGGAAGAGAUAAGUGCUGAAAGCAUCUAAGCACGAAACUUGC